Molecule: ribosomal RNA, 1410 nt
Filed under: Triticum aestivum (bread wheat)
Lineage: Eukaryota; Viridiplantae; Streptophyta; Magnoliopsida; Poales; Poaceae
Description: partial small subunit ribosomal RNA
Source: RNAcentral
AUGGACGGCAUCACAGCCAACACCACCACGAUCAGUCCCCGGAAGCCGCGGGUGAUGCUCUACUCGUCCCCACUCAUGGGGCAUCUCGUCCCCAUGAUCGAGCUCGCCAAGCUCUUCGCCGCCCGUGGGCUAGCCAUCACCGUCGUUCUCAUGGACCCGCCGUACGAUACCGGCGCCACGGGCCCCUUCCUCGCCGGUGUCUCCGCGGCCAACCCCUCCAUUUCUUUCCAUCGUCUGCCACAGGUCAAGCUCCUGGAGUCCGACGACUCCGUGAUGCCGGCCUUAGCGUUCGCCCGCCUCUCCAACCCGCAUCUACGCGACUUCCUCGCUGGUGCAUCUCCGGACUUCCUCGUGGUGGACUUCUUCUGCAGUGCCGCUAUGGACGUAGCCUCGGAGCUCAACAUCCCCGCCUACUUCUUCUCCACCUCCGGCGCCCAGAUCCUGGCUUUCUUUAUGCACCUCACGGUUCUGCAUGAAACCACGAGGAGCUUCCGGGAAAUGGGCGAAGAACUCGUGCACGUCCCGGGGAUCACCCCGUUUCCGGCGACACACUCCAUUCAGCCACUCAUGGAUCGUGACGGUGCGUCCUACCAGGCAUUACUAAAUGUAAGCCUCAACCUGUUCCGAUCACAGGGCAUCUUCAUCAACACCUUCCGCUCGCUGGAGCCUCGUGCCAUGGACACCAUCCUCGCCGGGCUCUCCGCCCCAGCUGGCCUCUCGACGCCCCCAGUCUACUGCGUUGGGCCGCUAGUCAAGUCAGAGGAGGUGGACAUGAAGCGUGGAGACGAGUGUCUCGCAUGGUUGGACACGCAACCCAAGGCCAGUGUGGUGUUCCUGUGCUUUGGCAGCCUCGGCCGGUUCAGCGCCAAACAAACAAGGGAACUGGCAACCGGGCUGGAGGCUAGUGGACAAAGGUUCCUCUGGGUUGUGCGGAGCCCGCCGAGCGACGACACUACAGAGCCGGACCUGGAUGUGCUGCUUCUGAAGGGUUUCCUGGACCGGACCAAGGGCAGGGGCCUAGUUGUGAAGUCAUGGGCACCACAAGGUGACGUUCUAGCACAUCAUGCUGUGGGAAGUUUUGUGACACACUGCGGGUGGAACUCGGUGCUCGAGUCUACUAUGGCAGGUGUGCCUAUGCUGGCCUGGCCAUUGUACGCGGAGCAAAAGAUGAAUGCGGUGUUCCUCGAGAAAGAGAUGGAGUUGGCUGUCGUGAUGGAAGGGUACGACAAGGAGAUGGUGGAGGCAAAGGAGAUUGCCAAAAAGGUCAGGUGGAUGAUGGAUUCGGAGGGCGGGAGGGUGCUCCGAGAAAGAACUCUAGCAGUGAUGCGGCAGGCGAAUGAUGCUCUACUCGAGGGUGGAGAAUCAGAUGCGGCCAUGACGGGCUUUGUGGAUGCGUGGGUUAAAGCUUGA